This 566-nucleotide ribosomal RNA is filed under the name uncultured freshwater bacterium. RNAcentral describes it as "bacterial SSU rRNA". It matches the Rfam family "Bacterial small subunit ribosomal RNA", at positions 8 to 607 of the family's 1533-position model. The record is from RNAcentral.
AGAGUUUGAUCCUGGCUCAGAAUGAACGUUGGCGGCGUGGAUUAGGCAUGCGAGUCGCGCGAUAAUGUAGCAAUACAGGACAGCGGCGAAAGGGAGAGGACAACAUAGGAAUCUGCCCUGGGGUCGGGGAUAGCGUCGGGAAACUGACGGUAAUACCCGAUAAUAUCCAAGGAUCAAAGGAGCAAUUUGCCCCGGGAUGAGCCUAUGCCCCAUUAGCUAGUUGGCGGUGUAAUGGACCACCAAGGCUGUGAUGGGUAGCUGGUGUGAGAGCACGACCAGCCUCACUGGCACUGAGACACUGGCCAGACACCUACGGGUGGCUGCAGUCGAGAAUCUUCGGCAAUGGACGAAAGUCUGACCGAGCGACGCCGCGUGUGGGAUGAAGGUCUUCGGAUUGUAAACCACUGUCGAGGGGGAUUAAGGGAAACUUGAAAGAACCCUGGAGGAAGGGGAGGCUAAGCUCGUGCCAGCAGCCGCGGUAAGACGAGCUCCCCAAACGUUAUUCGGUAUUACUGGGCUUAAAGAGUUCGUAGGCGGCGAAGUAGGUGAGGUGUGAAAGCCCUCGG